GGGGUUGCUGUUUCGCCAAGCUUGCUGUCUCUCCGGCGGCGGGCGCGGAUUUCUUUGCCUGGUUCUCCGAGAUCGCCUCCGCAUCCGACGGCGGGCGAUUCGCUUCGUCGUCUCAUCGUCUAUGGCAGCCGCAGGUGUUUCGCCAAGAAGAAAGUUGAACCCGAGCUGAAUGGCGAUGGGAUUCUGGCUCUAGCAGCGGUGCGGAGGAGGGGCCGAGUUCAGCACAAGGACCUGUUGCGGGAGACGAGUAUGACUGAAGUGGAGGCGACAUUCUUUUCUGAAUUCGUUCGUCCAUUUUGAUGAGCCGACUUUUGACAAACCUGAGAUUUCUCGUGACAAUGUUUAGUGUGUGGUAUAAGACAUAUUAAGACCAGACAAUCCUUUCUGAAACUUUUUUCCUUUUCUGAUGUGCACAAUUAUUAUGGUUCAUCUUGUUUUUUCAACGUUAUCUGUGGCUUAUAAACCA
Non-coding RNA from Lolium perenne, 466 nucleotides. NCBI's taxonomy places the organism in Eukaryota, Viridiplantae, Streptophyta, Magnoliopsida, Poales, Poaceae. The record is from RefSeq and is a predicted model, not a curated record.